Molecule: ribosomal RNA, 2929 nt
Filed under: Escherichia coli
Lineage: Bacteria; Pseudomonadati; Pseudomonadota; Gammaproteobacteria; Enterobacterales; Enterobacteriaceae
Description: bacterial LSU rRNA
Rfam family: Bacterial large subunit ribosomal RNA
Source: RNAcentral
GGGUUGUGAGGUUAAGCGACUAAGCGUACACGGUGGAUGCCCUGGCAGUCAGAGGCGAUGAAGGACGUGCUAAUCUGCGAUAAGCGUCGGUAAGGUGAUAUGAACCGUUAUAACCGGCGAUUUCCGAAUGGGGAAACCCAGUGUGUUUCGACACACUAUCAUUAACUGAAUCCAUAGGUUAAUGAGGCGAACCGGGGGAACUGAAACAUCUAAGUACCCCGAGGAAAAGAAAUCAACCGAGAUUCCCCCAGUAGCGGCGAGCGAACGGGGAGCAGCCCAGAGCCUGAAUCAGUGUGUGUGUUAGUGGAAGCGUCUGGAAAGGCGCGCGAUACAGGGUGACAGCCCCGUACACAAAAAUACACAUAUUGUGAGCUCGAUGAGUAGGGCGGGACACGUGGUAUCCUGUCUGAAUAUGGGGGGACCAUCCUCCAAGGCUAAAUACUCCUGACUGACCGAUAGUGAACCAGUACCGUGAGGGAAAGGCGAAAAGAACCCCGGCGAGGGGAGUGAAAAAGAACCUGAAACCGUGUACGUACAAGCAGUGGGAGCACGCUUAGGCGUGUGACUGCGUACCUUUUGUAUAAUGGGUCAGCGACUUAUAUUCUGUAGCAAGGUUAACCGAAUAGGGGAGCCGAAGGGAAACCGAGUCUUAACUGGGCGUUAAGUUGCAGGGUAUAGACCCGAAACCCGGUGAUCUAGCCAUGGGCAGGUUGAAGGUUGGGUAACACUAACUGGAGGACCGAACCGACUAAUGUUGAAAAAUUAGCGGAUGACUUGUGGCUGGGGGUGAAAGGCCAAUCAAACCGGGAGAUAGCUGGUUCUCCCCGAAAGCUAUUUAGGUAGCGCCUCGUGAAUUCAUCUCCGGGGGUAGAGCACUGUUUCGGCAAGGGGGUCAUCCCGACUUACCAACCCGAUGCAAACUGCGAAUACCGGAGAAUGUUAUCACGGGAGACACACGGCGGGUGCUAACGUCCGUCGUGAAGAGGGAAACAACCCAGACCGCCAGCUAAGGUCCCAAAGUCAUGGUUAAGUGGGAAACGAUGUGGGAAGGCCCAGACAGCCAGGAUGUUGGCUUAGAAGCAGCCAUCAUUUAAAGAAAGCGUAAUAGCUCACUGGUCGAGUCGGCCUGCGCGGAAGAUGUAACGGGGCUAAACCAUGCACCGAAGCUGCGGCAGCGACACUAUGUGUUGUUGGGUAGGGGAGCGUUCUGUAAGCCUGCGAAGGUGUACUGUGAGGUAUGCUGGAGGUAUCAGAAGUGCGAAUGCUGACAUAAGUAACGAUAAAGCGGGUGAAAAGCCCGCUCGCCGGAAGACCAAGGGUUCCUGUCCAACGUUAAUCGGGGCAGGGUGAGUCGACCCCUAAGGCGAGGCCGAAAGGCGUAGUCGAUGGGAAACAGGUUAAUAUUCCUGUACUUGGUGUUACUGCGAAGGGGGGACGGAGAAGGCUAUGUUGGCCGGGCGACGGUUGUCCCGGUUUAAGCGUGUAGGCUGGUUUUCCAGGCAAAUCCGGAAAAUCAAGGCUGAGGCGUGAUGACGAGGCACUACGGUGCUGAAGCAACAAAUGCCCUGCUUCCAGGAAAAGCCUCUAAGCAUCAGGUAACAUCAAAUCGUACCCCAAACCGACACAGGUGGUCAGGUAGAGAAUACCAAGGCGCUUGAGAGAACUCGGGUGAAGGAACUAGGCAAAAUGGUGCCGUAACUUCGGGAGAAGGCACGCUGAUAUGUAGGUGAAGCGACUUGCUCGUGGAGCUGAAAUCAGUCGAAGAUACCAGCUGGCUGCAACUGUUUAUUAAAAACACAGCACUGUGCAAACACGAAAGUGGACGUAUACGGUGUGACGCCUGCCCGGUGCCGGAAGGUUAAUUGAUGGGGUCAGCGCAAGCGAAGCUCUUGAUCGAAGCCCCGGUAAACGGCGGCCGUAACUAUAACGGUCCUAAGGUAGCGAAAUUCCUUGUCGGGUAAGUUCCGACCUGCACGAAUGGCGUAAUGAUGGCCAGGCUGUCUCCACCCGAGACUCAGUGAAAUUGAACUCGCUGUGAAGAUGCAGUGUACCCGCGGCAAGACGGAAAGACCCCGUGAACCUUUACUAUAGCUUGACACUGAACAUUGAGCCUUGAUGUGUAGGAUAGGUGGGAGGCUUUGAAGUGUGGACGCCAGUCUGCAUGGAGCCGACCUUGAAAUACCACCCUUUAAUGUUUGAUGUUCUAACGUUGACCCGUAAUCCGGGUUGCGGACAGUGUCUGGUGGGUAGUUUGACUGGGGCGGUCUCCUCCUAAAGAGUAACGGAGGAGCACGAAGGUUGGCUAAUCCUGGUCGGACAUCAGGAGGUUAGUGCAAUGGCAUAAGCCAGCUUGACUGCGAGCGUGACGGCGCGAGCAGGUGCGAAAGCAGGUCAUAGUGAUCCGGUGGUUCUGAAUGGAAGGGCCAUCGCUCAACGGAUAAAAGGUACUCCGGGGAUAACAGGCUGAUACCGCCCAAGAGUUCAUAUCGACGGCGGUGUUUGGCACCUCGAUGUCGGCUCAUCACAUCCUGGGGCUGAAGUAGGUCCCAAGGGUAUGGCUGUUCGCCAUUUAAAGUGGUACGCGAGCUGGGUUUAGAACGUCGUGAGACAGUUCGGUCCCUAUCUGCCGUGGGCGCUGGAGAACUGAGGGGGGCUGCUCCUAGUACGAGAGGACCGGAGUGGACGCAUCACUGGUGUUCGGGUUGUCAUGCCAAUGGCACUGCCCGGUAGCUAAAUGCGGAAGAGAUAAGUGCUGAAAGCAUCUAAGCACGAAACUUGCCCCGAGAUGAGUUCUCCCUGACCCUUUAAGGGUCCUGAAGGAACGUUGAAGACGACGACGUUGAUAGGCCGGGUGUGUAAGCGCAGCGAUGCGUUGAGCUAACCGGUACUAAUGAACCGUGAGGCUUAACCUUACAACGCCGAAGCUGUU